AUCGCCUUACUUCAUCACCAACCAAAACAAUCAGAAAUGUGAAUUGGAAAAUCCUCUAAUCAUAAUCCAUGAGAAGAAAAUCUCAAGUAUUAAUGCUGUGGUUAAAGUAUUGGAGUUGGUUUUGCAGUUAUGAUUUCAGAUCUAUAGAUAACCUGUUGUUGCUGACA
Long non-coding RNA from Prunus dulcis (almond), 167 nucleotides. RefSeq lists it as uncharacterized. The record is from RefSeq and is a predicted model, not a curated record. The transcript is spliced from 3 exons. NCBI's taxonomy places the organism in Eukaryota, Viridiplantae, Streptophyta, Magnoliopsida, Rosales, Rosaceae.